GCCUCGGUGGAGACGCGGUAUGAGCGACCCCAGAGGGCACAACGGUGCAACGCGCUCGAGUAGUGGAGAAGCAGUUGAGGGCGACGGUGAGGAACCGGUCCCUUGGAUAAGGGGUGGGUAGACCUCUCUUUUUUUGUCUUUCAGAUAAUCAGAGAAAACUGAUGCCAGCUGAACAGCAUUCAACGUACCAUGCAUUUACUGGCACAAUAGGAAUCAUGUUUUGUGUUCUAUGUUCUGUCCUGUGGUGUUUGUCUUGUGGCCGGAAUUUUUGUGUUUAAUAUUUUUAUAGAAUAGUCUAGUUUAAAAUCAAACAAAAAGGUUAAAUUAAAAUGCAGAUAUUUGUUUUGUUCAACUUGGAAUACAAAGUGUUUGAAUAAAUCAGGAGAAUGUAAUAUACUAAAGUCUAAUGCAUUUCCUUAAGUAAGGAAAAGAAAUUUCAUUGGCCAAACUGUUAAUUGCAAAAAUUGUUGUUAAAAUUUGCAUACCAACAGUCUUUAAAAGCAAAGACAUAAAAAGUUAACCCACUCCCCAUAUUGUACAUGAAAUCUUUCUGGCUACCUCAAAUUUCUAGCCAAAGGGCUGGGGAUGGUGAAAGGCUAUUGAACUAAAGGUUGUAUUGAGUGAACACCUCGAAGUGGGUGUGCUUGUCCUGGCUUGUUGCUCCAAAGCUCUGUAAUAAGGUUAUUUUAGUAAAAGGGUGUGUGUGGCAUAUAUUAAAUAAUAAGACUAAUGUACUGUAUAAUAACAAUGUUUAUGUCUUCAUUGUUGGAAAAAAGGUGUAUAAGUAAAAAGUAAAAGUUUCCUUUGCAGGUUAAAAGAAGCCAAGAAGAAAAAAGAACAAAAAACAAAAUAAA
Molecule: long non-coding RNA, 854 nt
Organism: Gopherus flavomarginatus (Mexican gopher tortoise)
Lineage: Eukaryota; Metazoa; Chordata; Testudines; Testudinidae
Exons: 2
Source: RefSeq, a predicted model, not a curated record